This 1479-nucleotide ribosomal RNA is filed under the name Bacillus sp. YF23. Its description in RNAcentral is "bacterial LSU rRNA". It matches the Rfam family "Bacterial large subunit ribosomal RNA", at positions 1 to 1475 of the family's 2925-position model. Lineage: Bacteria; Bacillati; Bacillota; Bacilli; Caryophanales; Bacillaceae. The record is from RNAcentral.
UGGUUAAGUUAGAAAGGGCGCACGGUGGAUGCCUUGACACUAGGAGUCGAUGAAGGACGGGACUAACGCCGAUAUGCUUCGGGGAGCUGUAAGUAAGCUUUGAUCCGAAGAUUUCCGAAUGGGGAAACCCACUAUACGUAAUGGUAUGGUAUCCUUACCUGAAUACAUAGGGUAUGGAAGACAGACCCAGGGAACUGAAACAUCUAAGUACCUGGAGGAAGAGAAAGCAAAUGCGAUUUCCUGAGUAGCGGCGAGCGAAACGGAACAUAGCCCAAACCAAGAGGCUUGCCUCUUGGGGUUGUAGGACAUUCUAUACGGAGUUACAAAGGAACGAGGUAGACGAAGCGACCUGGAAAGGUCCGUCGUAGAGGGUAACAACCCCGUAGUCGAAACUUCGUUCUCUCUUGAAUGUAUCCUGAGUACGGCGGAACACGUGAAAUUCCGUCGGAAUCUGGGAGGACCAUCUCCCAAGGCUAAAUACUCCCUAGUGAUCGAUAGUGAACCAGUACCGUGAGGGAAAGGUGAAAAGCACCCCGGAAGGGGAGUGAAAGAGAUCCUGAAACCGUGUGCCUACAAAUAGUCAGAGCCCGUUAAUGGGUGAUGGCGUGCCUUUUGUAGAAUGAACCGGCGAGUUACGAUCCCGUGCAAGGUUAAGCUGAAGAGGCGGAGCCGCAGCGAAAGCGAGUCUGAAUAGGGCGUUUAGUACGUGGUCGUAGACCCGAAACCAGGUGAUCUACCCAUGUCCAGGGUGAAGUUCAGGUAACACUGAAUGGAGGCCCGAACCCACGCACGUUGAAAAGUGCGGGGAUGAGGUGUGGGUAGCGGAGAAAUUCCAAUCGAACCUGGAGAUAGCUGGUUCUCCCCGAAAUAGCUUUAGGGCUAGCCUUAAGUGUAAGAGUCUUGGAGGUAGAGCACUGAUUGAACUAGGGGUCCUCAUCGGAUUACCGAAUUCAGUCAAACUCCGAAUGCCAAUGACUUAUCCUUAGGAGUCAGACUGCGAGUGAUAAGAUCCGUAGUCAAGAGGGAAAACAGCCCAGAUCGCCAGCUAAGGUCCAAAGUGUGUAUUAAGUGGAAAAGGAUGUGGAGUUGCUUAGACAACUAGGAUGUUGCUUAGAAGCAGCCACCAUUUAAAGAGUGCGUAAUAGCUCACUAGUCGAGUGACUCUGCGCCGAAAAUGUACCGGGGCUAAAUACACCACCGAAGCUGCGAAUUGAUACCAAUGGUAUCAGUGGUAGGGGAGCGUUCUAAGUGCAGUGAAGUCAGACCGGAAGGACUGGUGGAGCGCUUAGAAGUGAGAAUGCCGGUAUGAGUAGCGAAAGACGGGUGAGAAUCCCGUCCACCGAAUGCCUAAGGUUUCCUGAGGAAGGCUCGUCCGCUCAGGUUAGUCAGGACCUAAGCCGAGGCCGACAGGCGUAGGCGAUGGACAACAGGUUGAUAUUCCUGUACCACCUCUUUAUCGUUUGAGCAAUGGAGGGACGC